This is an RNA transcript of Gossypium arboreum, 4376 nucleotides long. It is a transcript of the gene named probable LRR receptor-like serine/threonine-protein kinase At1g74360, with no coding region annotated. The transcript has 4 exons. Lineage: Eukaryota; Viridiplantae; Streptophyta; Magnoliopsida; Malvales; Malvaceae. The record is from RefSeq and is a predicted model, not a curated record.
GGAAAGAAAUUAUGUUUCAGGUUCCUUCUAUAUGGCUUCUUGUUGAGUCUUUGAGUCUAUGGUCAAACCCCAUGGCCUGAACCAGCCAACAGGGGCGGCUCACCAGCCCAUUGCUUCAAUUGCCUCUCAUUUUCUCAGCAAAUAACAUCACAGCGCUAAACCAAAAAAUAAAAAAAACUGAUUAAUAUUAAGUUUAUUUCCUAAUUAAUAUUAAUUAAGUAAUGUUUUAGAAACAUUACUGUUGGCAAACAUUUCUUCAAAGCUUGGUCUAUGUUCUUAAGUGCAGGCGCUGGUGUUAUUCAACUGACUUUUGUUUUUCUUUGAUAGGUGUUUAAGCAACUCAUUCCUGCUAUGGUAAAACUUUGCUGACAAAGAUGAAGGAGAAGAAGAACCAAGCUUUUUCAUGGCGUUUCACUUUGUUUAUGUUCUUAAUCCUCCUGAUUACAAGCACUGAUGUUGCUGUUGGGGAUUCUUUAGAGACGGACAAAUAUGUACUGCUGAAGCUAAAAUCAUACCUGGAAGAACAGAAUCGUGUAAAUCGAGGACGGUACUUAGAGUGGGAUACCAGAAACUCAACACCAUGUCAGUGGUACGGUGUUUCAUGUUCCCCUGAUGGCCAAAGUGUCAUUGGUAUAAACCUUUCUGACAAUAAUAUUUCCGGGGAUAUGUUCAAUCAAUUCUCUGCCUUAUCUGAACUCCGAGAACUUGACCUUUCGGGAAACACCAUCGGUGGAGCAAUUCCAGAGGAUCUGAAUCGAUGCAGCAGCCUGGUAUACCUUAACUUAUCACAUAAUAUCCUAGAAGGAGAGCUGAAGUUGACAGGGUUAAAUAGUUUAGAGAAGCUCGAUUUGUCUAUGAAUAGGAGGAUUGAAGGGGAUAUUGAAGUUAGUUUCCCAGCAAUUUGCAAGAGAUUGGUUAUUGCAAACCUUUCAACUAAUAAUUUCAGUGGUAAUAUAGAUAAGUGCUUUGAUGAAUGCUGGAAUCUGCAGUAUUUGGAUUUGAGUUCCAAUAAUUUUGUUGGCCAAAUAUGGAGUGGAUUUGCAAGGCUUGUCGAGUAUUCAGUUUCUGAAAAUUUCGUGUCAGGGGCACUUUCGGGAUCAAUGUUCACAAACAAUUGUAGUUUGCAGGUUUUGGACCUUUCAGAAAACAACUUAGAGGGUCAGCUUCCGGGGGAGAUUUCUAACUGCAAGAAUUUGGCUGUGUUGAACUUAUGGGGAAACCAUUUUACGGGGAAAAUUCCAUCGGAGAUCGGAAUGAUUUCAAGUCUAGAAGGCUUGUUCUUGGGGAAAAACAACUUUUCUAAUGUAAUACCAGAAUCUUUAUUGAACCUCACAAACUUGGCUUUUUUGGAUUUAAGCAAGAACAACUUUGGUGGGAAGAUACAAGAGAUUUUUGGGAGGUUCACACAAGUGAAGUUCCUUGUGUUACACGGAAAUGCAUAUACCGGAGGGAUUAUAUCUUCCGGCAUUCUCAAUUUGCCAAAGGUUUCACGUUUAGACCUAAGUUUCAACAACUUCUCUGGUCCUUUACCUAUUGAAAUCUCUGAAAUGAAGAGCUUGAAUUUCUUGAUGUUGGCUUACAACCAGUUUACAGGUGGUAUACCACCUGAGUAUGGCAACUUGCCUCAGUUACAGGCCCUUGAUCUCUCCUUCAACCAGCUUACAGGAUCUAUCCCAUCAGCAUUUGGAAAACUGAGCACUCUCUUGUGGUUGAUGCUUGCAAACAACUCUCUUACGGGUGACAUUCCGUCUGAGAUUGGAAACUGCAGUAGCUUGUUAUGGCUAAACCUUGCCAACAAUCAACUUUCUGGGGAAAUCCCUCCAGAGUUGGCUAAGAUUGGGAGAAAUGCCAUCCAAACUUUUGAGUCGAACAGGCUACGAAAUGACCGGAUAAUUCCUGGUUCGGGAGAGUGCUUGUCAAUGAAGAGGUGGAUACCAGCAGAUUAUCCACCUUUCAGUUUUGUGUAUACAAUUCUCACUAAGAAGACUUGCAGAAGUUUAUGGGAUCAGUUGGUUAAAGGACAUGGAAUUUUCCAAGUAUGCACUGCAGGUUCAACAGUGAUGACAGAUCAAAUCUCAGGUUAUUUGCAACUUAGUGGGAAUCAGUUGUCGGGCCAGAUCCCUUCAGAUAUCGGCAUGAUGCAGAAUUUCAGUAUGCUUCAUUUUGGUUUCAAUGACCUCAAUGGUAAACUGCCUGCAAACAUCGGACAGUUGCCGCUUGUAGUCCUAAACAUAACCCGAAAUCGAUUUUCAGGAGAAAUUCCAGAUGAGAUUGGUAAUAUGAAAUGCUUACUGAAUCUAGAUUUAUCAUUCAAUAACUUUUCUGGCAUAUUUCCAACAAGCUUCAACAACUUGACUGAGCUGAGCAAGUUCAACAUUUCAUACAAUCCGCUCAUUUCGGGUGUAAUUCCGGCAACCGGUCAAUUGGCUACCUUCGAGAAAGAGUCCUACCUCGGGGAUCCACUUCUCGAUAUUCCAGAUUUUAUCGACAAUGGAACAUCUCGCCCGCAAAAGUACAAUUCAAUGCAUAAAAGAUCUGCUAAGUUGGUUGUAUUCUUGGCGUUGUUAUAUUUGACACUGGCCUUUUUAGUUUUUGGGGUUCUAACGCUCAUAGUUUGCGUUUUGGUGAAAGGUCCAGAAGAACCAUACGGAUAUCUCUUUCAGGAUAUUAAAUAUCGACAUGAACUAGCUUCAAGCUCUGGAGGGUCAUCACCAUGGUUAUCGGAUACUGUCAAGGUCAUACGUUUGGACAAAACAGCUUUUACGCAUGCAGAUAUUUUGAAGGCUACAGGCAAUUUUUCAGAGGACAGGAUUAUCGGAAAGGGAGGAUUUGGAAUGGUGUAUCGAGGUGUAUUGCCUGAUGGGAGAGAAGUGGCAGUGAAAAAGCUACAACGAGAAGGAAUCCAGGGUGAAAGGGAGUUCCGGGCUGAGAUGGAGGUACUCAGUGGCAAUGGCUUUGGUUGGCCCCACCCUAACCUUGUAACACUAUAUGGCUGGUGCCUUGAUGGCUUAGAGAAAAUAUUGGUUUAUGAGUAUAUGGAAGGUGGGAGCCUCGAGGAUAUUAUAUCGGAUCGGUUGUGGUUCACAUGGCGGAGAAGGAUCGAUGUGGCGGUUGAUAUUGCAAGAGCAUUAGUGUUCCUACAUCAUGAAUGCUACCCUGCAAUCGUGCAUAGAGAUGUCAAGGCCAGCAAUGUCCUGCUAGAUAAAGAUGGGAGGGCAAGAGUUACAGAUUUCGGUUUGGCUAGAUUUGUCGACAUCGGAGAUAGCCAUGUGAGCACUAUCGUAGCAGGAACUAUUGGUUAUGUAGCACCAGAAUACGGGCAAACUUGGCAAGCUACUACAAAAGGUGAUGUGUACAGUUAUGGGGUGUUAACAAUGGAACUAGCAACUGGAAGGCGAGCAGUAGAUGGAGGGGAAGAAUGUUUGGUUGAAUGGGCCAGACGUAUGAUGGGAAAUUGUCGAAACGGGUUAGGCCGAACUGUGAUCCCGGUUGUGCUUUUCGGAUCAGGGUUAGCUGAUGGUGCGGAAAAGAUGUGCGAGCUGCUUCGAAUCGGGGUCCAAUGCACAGCAGAAGCUCCACAAGCUAGACCAAACAUGAAAGAGGUUCUAGCCAUGCUAAUUAGAAUAACAAGCAGUAACGGUCAAAAUCUCAAGUGUUCAUAGUGUUGGUAUGUGAAAGGGAUAUACAAAAUAGUAAAUAGGUUUAAAUACACGUAUAUUUUCAUGUACUGAUUUUUCUUGUAAAGGGACAAAUGAAGUUAAGAGCAAACAAGAUUGAAACAGAACAUAACAAGAUUUUUUGGUCACUCGUAGGGGUGUAGUUAGGGAGUACUGGUCCCUAAAAUGGAAAAUUUUCUGAAUUCGCAUUUGGUUACUCAAAUUCAAAAAGAAUAAUAAAAUUGGAAAAGAAAUGGAAGAGAGGAGGGCGCUGGCAAAGAAAAUGAAGAUUGAAGAGUUGCAAUGUCAACCAUGUGUUGAUUAUGGAGAUGAAACCGUUGCAAUGCAGGUGAGAGCUCGUCUAAUUUUCAGUAACAUAUUACUCGGGUCGGGUUCUGGUGUUAGGAUCAGGCUAUGUAUGUGCAUAGAUAUCUUCAAUCUUUUUCAAGAAUUUCAUGUAUUUAAAGGGUUUAGCAGGUCUUGAGUCUAAUUGGUUCUCUUAAAAUGUGGCAUCCAGCAGGUCUUGAGUCUAAAUAUCAACAUCUUGUAGACAUCAAUAGUUCUCUGUAGUCGAUUGUUUUCUUUCUCGAAAAUGUUCUUAAUAUAGAAUCAUUGAUUUGUAAAGGGAAAGCCCAGAAGUAGUCUAGUUAGUUCAUGCUUAGUCUAGUUAGUUCAUACAAUUGUUUUUGGCAUCCAUAGCUCAAAUUUCAGUAUUUACAA